AUUGAACGCUGGCGGCAUGCCUUACACAUGCAAGUCGAACGGCAGCAUGGAGGAGCUUGCUCCUCUGAUGGCGAGUGGCGAACGGGUGAGUAAAGCAUCGGAACGUACCGUGUAGUGGGGGAUAACGUAGCGAAAGUUACGCUAAUACCGCAUACGCACUGAGGUGGAAAGCAGGGGAUCGCAAGACCUUGCGCUAUACGAGCGGCCGAUGUCAGAUUAGCUAGUUGGUAGGGUAAAGGCCUACCAAGGCGACGAUCUGUAGCGGGUCUGAGAGGAUGAUCCGCCACACUGGGACUGAGACACGGCCCAGACUCCUACGGGAGGCAGCAGUGGGGAAUUUUGGACAAUGGGGGAAACCCUGAUCCAGCCAUGCCGCGUGAGUGAAGAAGGCCUUCGGGUUGUAAAGCUCUUUCGGCUGGGAAGAAAUCGCACAGGCUAAUACUCUGUGUGGAUGACGGUACCAGCAUAAGAAGCACCGGCUAACUACGUG
RNAcentral lists this ribosomal RNA (490 nucleotides) under uncultured bacterium. RNAcentral describes it as "bacterial SSU rRNA". It matches the Rfam family "Bacterial small subunit ribosomal RNA", at positions 30 to 507 of the family's 1533-position model. The record is from RNAcentral.